CCAGACUCCUACGGGAGGCAGCAGUGGGGAAUAUUGGGCAAUGGGCGCAAGCCUGACCCAGCAACGCCGCGUGAAGGAAGAAGGCCCUCGGGUUGUAAACUUCUUUUAUUCGGGACGAAACAAAUGACGGUACCGAAUGAAUAAGCCACGGCUAACUACGUGCCAGCAGCCGCGGUAAUACGUAGGGAGCAAGCGUUGUCCGGAAUUACUGGGCGUAAAGGGCGCGUAGGUGGGCGCUUAAGUCAGGUGUGAAAACUCCGGGCUCAACCUGGAGACUGCACUUGAAACUGGGUGUCUUGAGGGCAGGAGAGGAAAGUGGAAUUCCUGGUGUAGCGGUGAAAUGCGUAGAUAUUAGGAGGAACACCAGUGGCGAAGGCGACUUUCUGGACUGUACCUGACGCUGAGGCGCGAAAGCGUGGGUAGCGAACGGGAUUAGAUACCC
RNAcentral lists this ribosomal RNA (442 nucleotides) under uncultured bacterium. Its description in RNAcentral is "bacterial SSU rRNA". It matches the Rfam family "Bacterial small subunit ribosomal RNA", at positions 331 to 787 of the family's 1533-position model. The record is from RNAcentral.